CCUCGGGUCACCUUGAGGCGGGGGUGCUUGCCCCAGGCUAGACGCUUGGAUUCCUGAAUGGUCCACGUUCAGAUGACGUGAGGCCCGUGGUUCUCAGUCUUAAACUUACAUAACAAAGUCCUUGGAAUGAUUGUCAUUAAUGUGGAGAUUUCUGGACACCGCCCUUCCACUUUGUAAUUCAGUUGACUGCUCACCGGAUUUUCAGUUUUCUAUGAGGCCCAAUUGUUGAUGGGUGGGAGUUGACCUGUGCUUGAAGGAACCACAGUAAAUCUUUACUGAAGUUGCUCUCCUUAUUAA
Molecule: long non-coding RNA, 297 nt
Organism: Jaculus jaculus (lesser Egyptian jerboa)
Lineage: Eukaryota; Metazoa; Chordata; Mammalia; Rodentia; Dipodidae
Exons: 2
Source: RefSeq, a predicted model, not a curated record